UGAUUAGCACAGUAAUUGUACCCACAG
This 27-nucleotide non-coding RNA is filed under the name Mus musculus (house mouse). The record is from RNAcentral. Lineage: Eukaryota; Metazoa; Chordata; Mammalia; Rodentia; Muridae.